UUACAAUCGGACCGAGCCAUUUCACAUCUUGGGAAAUUUGAAUGGGUCUUUGGAGAAUUGGAAUCGUUAUUAUGAUAAUUUGCGUUGACAACCCAGCGUCUGCAUUGGGUUAUGAAAUUGACUUAAAUUCAACGUCAGGUCCACGCUUCCAUCAUUGUGGUGCUCUCAUCUGGCAGGGAAACAAAAGUUGUGAAGAGAAAAGAUGAAUAAAUUAGCAGUGAUAGCUCUACUGUCGUUAACAGUCCUUAUCCAUCAGUCACAUGGUCUGGGCAUCCAAAAUAUCAUCUGCAGCAACCAGUGUAGAUUCCGAUUCAGUCAGUGCAUGAACAAAUGUGUGAUGGAGAAGGGCAUCGUCAAGGAUUAUGAUGGCGGAUACGAAGACUGUACGCUUAUCUGUACCCAGUACUUGUCACAGUGUAGCUGCUCAAUGUCUUUUUGAUAACAUAAGCCUCGGAACCGGGACUCGGUCAGAUUUAUUGGAAAAUCUAUGACAAAAAAUAUAUAUCCCUCAUUGGAAAUCCGGAUUUAUAACAAAAGUAAUUAAUAAAGAAAUGAACUUGAGGGACUUUGAUGUAGUGUACUAUAAUAUCGACAGUAUACAAAUGUACAUUCUGUGUAGAUUUGAUAUCUGAAGGGUUACCGUGUUAUUUUCGUACGAUGCAUAUUUCAGUUUUUCUAGAUCAUUAUUAAUAAACUCCUAUACGCUUGGAA
Ostrea edulis (European flat oyster) is the source of this 711-nucleotide long non-coding RNA. RefSeq lists it as uncharacterized. The transcript has 2 exons. NCBI's taxonomy places the organism in Eukaryota, Metazoa, Mollusca, Bivalvia, Ostreida, Ostreidae. The record is from RefSeq and is a predicted model, not a curated record.